RNAcentral lists this ribosomal RNA (494 nucleotides) under uncultured bacterium. RNAcentral's name for it is "partial 16S ribosomal RNA". It matches the Rfam family "Bacterial small subunit ribosomal RNA", at positions 28 to 507 of the family's 1533-position model. The record is from RNAcentral.
GACGAACGCUGGCGGCGCGCUUAACACAUGCAAGUCGAACGGAAAGGCCUGCUUUCCCUUGUGGAUUGCGGGUACUCGAGUGGCGAACGGGUGAGUAACACGUGAGUGAUCUGCCCCCAACUUGGGUAUAAGCCUGGGAAACUGGGUCUAAUUCCCGAUAGGACUGCAGGGUGGUGCCUGUGGUGGAAAACGAUUCUCUAGUGGUUGGGGAUGAGCUCGCGGCCUAUCAGCUUGUUGGUGGGGUAAUGGCCUACCAAGGCGGCGACGGGUAGCCGGCCUGAGAGGGUGGACGGCCACAUUGGGACUGAGAUACGGCCCAGACUCCUACGGGAGGCAGCAGUGGGGAAUAUUGCACAAUGGGCGGAAGCCUGAUGCAGCGACGCCGCGUGGGGGAUGACGGCCUUCGGGUUGUAAACUCCUUUCGACCGCGAGGAAGCCACCUGGUUGGAAGGGUGGUGACGGUAGUGGUAGAAGAAGCACCGGCUAACUACGUG